UACGGAGGGUGCAAGCGUUGUUCGGAAUUACUGGGCGUAAAGCGCGUGUAGGCGGCCGAUUAAGUCUGGUGUGAAAGCCCGGGGCUCACCCCCGGAAGUGCGCUGGAAACUGGUCGGCUAGAGUAUGGGAGAGGAAAGUGGAAUUCCCGGUGUAGCGGUGAAAUGCGUAGAUAUCGAGAGGAACACCUGCGGCGAAGGCGUGUUGCUGGGCUGAUACUGACGCUGAGGCGCGA
RNAcentral lists this ribosomal RNA (233 nucleotides) under uncultured bacterium. RNAcentral's name for it is "partial 16S ribosomal RNA". It matches the Rfam family "Bacterial small subunit ribosomal RNA", at positions 524 to 756 of the family's 1533-position model. The record is from RNAcentral.